UCUUGACUCGAAUCAGAUAGGAU
This 23-nucleotide ribosomal RNA is filed under the name Ampelomyces quisqualis. RNAcentral's name for it is "partial 26S ribosomal RNA". The record is from RNAcentral. Lineage: Eukaryota; Fungi; Ascomycota; Dothideomycetes; Pleosporales; Phaeosphaeriaceae.